RNAcentral lists this ribosomal RNA (1239 nucleotides) under Lithoredo abatanica. RNAcentral describes it as "16S ribosomal RNA". It matches the Rfam family "Bacterial large subunit ribosomal RNA", at positions 478 to 2704 of the family's 2925-position model. Lineage: Eukaryota; Metazoa; Mollusca; Bivalvia; Myida; Teredinidae. The record is from RNAcentral.
GCGAAAUCUUUCAAAAAAGUGUACCGGGAGGAAAAGUCUUUAUUGAAUUGUAUGAUAAUUAUUUUAGAGAUAGGAGGAGUGUGGUCUUUUGUUAGAAGAGAUUAUUUCUUGUACUUUUUGUAUCAUGGGACAUAGAGUUUGGUGAUUCAGGUUUGGGUGUCCUGAAAGGCUCUGAGCUAUCCUUCUUUUUUGCUUUUGCAAAAGGUCUGUGGUGUUGCAUUACUGCGGGGGAGAGUCUGAUAGAUAAUGAAAUGUUUGUCGAAGAGCCUGAUAGCUGGUUAGUUGGGAAAUGCAUAUGAGUGCAGCGCAGGUGGUGAAAUGAGAGAAGCGAUAAUAAUGGGAUCUUGUUUUUUACUUGUAGUGAGAUUGUAGGGGUAAGCUCUGUAAUGAAAUUUUUAGGAUAAAUUACAGCUAAGUAGAGUUGAUAUUGCUUGUCUUAUGUUGAGUUUUUGUUCAAAAUAGUUUUGUGCGUUAUUUUGUUUGGUACUAUUUCUUAGUUUUGAAUGGUAAAAUUUGGGAGUAGUAUGUCAUGAGUAGGUGUGUGGUGUAUAAUAUGAUAUGUGUGGAGUUGAUUAGGUUGUUUUAUUUAGGGGUGUUGAAUUAGGUUUGAAGGUAAAUGAGAAAAGCAGAUCUAAGGAAUUCGGCAAUUGUUUUCCCCGCCUGUUUAUUAAAAACAUGGCUCUUAGGAGAAGAAGAAUUAGGAGUCGUACCUGCCCGGUGGAGCGGUUCUAAACGGUUGCUAUUUGUCGUAGUACUAAGGUAGCGCAAUAAAUUGUCCUUUAAUUGGGGAAAGGAAUGAAUGGUUUGACGUGGGAAAAAGUGUCUCGGGUUUGUUGUCUGAAUUUUACUUCUAGGUGAAAAGGCUUAGAUUAUUUUAUUAGACGAGAAGACCCCGUCGAGCUUGAUGAGGGAAUAGAAAGGUUGUUUAGGUUCUUCAAGUUUUGUUGGGGUGACAGGAGGCAAGGUUAACGCAUCUUGGUUUUGUGUAGAUCCUGUAGUAUGGAUAAAGAGAAAAAGCUACCGCGGGGAUAACAGCGUAAUGUUUCUGGAAAGAUCUUAUUGAAGGGAAAAGUUGCGACCUCGAUGUUGAAUUAGGGUUUCACCUCGGUGCAGCAGCUGAGAUAGUAGGUCUGUUCGCCCUUUAAAACCUUACAUGAUUUGAGUUUAGACCGGCGUGAGCUAGGUCGGAUUCUAUCUUUCUUUUAGGUUCCCUUUGUACGAAAGGAUCGGGGAGUUGCC